UAAGAGAACGUCCCCGGUGC
RNAcentral lists this unclassified non-coding RNA (20 nucleotides) under Chlamydomonas reinhardtii. Its description in RNAcentral is "small RNA Cre_2139". Lineage: Eukaryota; Viridiplantae; Chlorophyta; Chlorophyceae; Chlamydomonadales; Chlamydomonadaceae. The record is from RNAcentral.